CCCUUCUACGACCAUCUCUUCACGCCUGCCCUCCUUGCACCAGUGACCUCAUCUGUCCGUGACCUGCAAAGGAAGGUGACCUGGGAACUCAGCUAGGGAGGGGUAACUGUUAGCCAAGGGGACCAGAUGCUCAACCUGUUCAACGACAUGCAACUGGGGAAAGAAUAGAGAGCCACCACCCAGAAACCAUCUAGGAGAAGAAAUGUUCCCAGCCAAGCAUCCAGACAAACCCACAUGUCCAUGGCUGCCUCAGACCACGCGAUGAAUCCUCAGCUUCCCUGUAGUUUCUGGGGUGGCAUGAGGGGAGGACUCCUAACUGACUUAGUUCUGGAACCCUCCCCCAGGGCUUUCUAUGCUGUCUACCCCUGUGUAACUACCAUGUCACAAGCCUACCCAGCCCCCUAUACUUUCACGUGGACACAGCCCCUUAUAUAUUCACCUAGAUACCAUUAUCUGAGUUGGCGGUUUCCUGUGCCCUCUGUGUGGUCAAAUGAUGCCACCAACUUUUAUCGCCAACUCCAGAGCCGGUGCCCAGAUGCCAUGGAUCCCAGUGCAUUUCCUUGCUCUCGGAAAUUGUUCUUUGAUUGCCGCUACCCUCGCUGGUGAUAUUUCCAACUCUUGUCCAAGUUGGGGACCAGGUACCAACCAGCUCAGCCAGGCUUGUAGUGAGGGGCCCAUUCGCAACCCCUCAUUUAGAAGAGGCCUCAGGUAGUGUACAAGUUACCCAGAUGCCUGCCAGUCUCACCCUCAAAUGUCUCCCCAUUUCCUUCACCCCAAAUCCUGAGUCCCAUCCCAGCAGCCCUCUGGCAUCUACCCUGCAGGGUCCACACUGUCACUUUGAGGGCUGAUCAGAUGUUCAGAGAUGGAGAUACCCCAUGGUGUGUCUCUUGAACCAGCAUCUAGCCUCUACUGCCUAAAGGAUUUCCGUCAUGAUGCCCCACCCCCAUCCUCACAGACCGCCCCCUCUCCCCCAGCCAGGCUUGGCAGGACCUCAACAUCUCCCUCUGCUUUUCUUUUUGAGUGCUGCUUCAGAAGUCACUGUGGGCACCUUUUCUCCCCAGCCCUUGUCCUGGGUCAGCGCUCUCAUGUCCUCCACCAGGGCAGAUAGUUUUGCGUGUCAAUUUUUUUUUUAAAUUACACAACAGCCUGAGAAACCUGGAAACCCUGAAGACCCAUCACCCACACUGAGCCCUCUCAUCCAUUAAAGUGGAUCUCACUGGGCCUGCAGCCACCAUCCUUCCAAGCCUCUACCCUGUGCCCUUCCCUUAGAGAAGGCCCCGGCUCUCUGGCUGCCAUGUGUGGAGCUGUGUCCUCCAGGUAGUGUCCUGGAGCACGCUAGGAUCACAGAAUACAACAGGUACUCUCUGAAGCCUCUUCAAAAGCCCAUUUGGAUGGACUUGAGCCAGGAGCCUCUCUCUUUCUGCACGGAGCUCACGGCACACACCACAUUGUUG
Long non-coding RNA from Chionomys nivalis (European snow vole), 1454 nucleotides. RefSeq lists it as uncharacterized. The record is from RefSeq and is a predicted model, not a curated record. Lineage: Eukaryota; Metazoa; Chordata; Mammalia; Rodentia; Cricetidae. The transcript is spliced from 3 exons.